RNAcentral lists this ribosomal RNA (274 nucleotides) under uncultured bacterium. Its description in RNAcentral is "partial 16S ribosomal RNA". It matches the Rfam family "Bacterial small subunit ribosomal RNA", at positions 523 to 796 of the family's 1533-position model. The record is from RNAcentral.
AGACGGAGGGGGCUAGCGUUGUUCGGAAUUAUUGGGCGUAAAGCGGGUGUAGGCGGUUUUGCAAGUCGGGUGUGAAAGCCCUGGGCCCAACCCAGGAAUUGCAUCCGAUACUGCAUCACUAGAGUCCCAGAGAGGAUGGCGGAAUUCCAGGUGUAGAGGUGAAAUUCGUAGAUAUCUGGAGGAACACCAGUGGCGAAGGCGGCCAUCUGGACGGUGACUGACGCUCAGACCCGAAAGCGUGGGGAGCAAACAGCAUUAGAUACCCCGGUAGUCC